CAUGGUGGGGGGUGGAAAGCUUUUUGUGGUUUUGGAUGGACUCGCGGCCUAUCAGCUUGUUGGUGAGGUAAUGGCUCACCAAGGCGACGACGGGUAGCCGGCCUGAGAGGGUGACCGGCCACACUGGGACUGAGACACGGCCCAGACUCCUACGGGAGGCAGCAGUGGGGAAUAUUGCACAAUGGGCGAAAGCCUGAUGCAGCGACGCCGCGUGAGGGAUGACGGCCUUCGGGUUGUAAACCUCUUUCAGUAGGGAAGAAGCGAAAGUGACGGUACCUGCAGAAGAAGCGCCGGCUAACUACGUGCCAGCAGCCGCGGUAAUACGUAGGGCGCAAGCGUUAUCCGGAAUUAUUGGGCGUAAAGAGCUCGUAGGCGGUUUGUCGCGUCUGCCGUGAAAGUCCGGGGCUCAACUCCGGAUCUGCGGUGGGUACGGGCAGACUAGAGUGAUGUAGGGGAGACUGGAAUUCCUGGUGUAGCGGUGAAAUGCGCAGAUAUCAGGAGGAACACCGAUGGCGAAGGCAGGUCUCUGGGCAUUAACUGACGCUGAGGAGCGAAAGCAUGGGGAGCGAACAGGAUUAGAUACCCUGGUAGUCCAUGCCG
This 600-nucleotide ribosomal RNA is filed under the name Arthrobacter sp. DS-5PS-7. RNAcentral's name for it is "bacterial SSU rRNA". It matches the Rfam family "Bacterial small subunit ribosomal RNA", at positions 189 to 802 of the family's 1533-position model. Lineage: Bacteria; Bacillati; Actinomycetota; Actinomycetes; Micrococcales; Micrococcaceae. The record is from RNAcentral.